RNAcentral lists this ribosomal RNA (225 nucleotides) under uncultured bacterium. RNAcentral's name for it is "partial 16S ribosomal RNA". It matches the Rfam family "Bacterial small subunit ribosomal RNA", at positions 524 to 750 of the family's 1533-position model. The record is from RNAcentral.
UACAGAGGGUGCUAGCGUUGUUCGGAAUGACUGGGCGUAAAGGGCGCGUAGGCGGUUUAUCAAGUCAGAUGUGAAAGCCCCGGGCUUAACCUGGGAACUGCAUUUGAUACUGGUUGACUGGAGUACGAGAGAGGAAAGUGGAAUUCCUAGUGUAGAGGUGAAAUUCGUAGAUAUUAGGAGGAACACCAGAGGCGAAGGCGGCUUUCUGGCGUCGCUAACGAUGCG